AUACCACGAUGUGGACAUGUAACCAGCAGACCCUUGAAUCUUUCCCACGUUUCUUGCAACAUCUCUGCUGGUUUCUGUCUGAAGCUCAAUAUCUCAUCAAUUUGCU
Molecule: small nucleolar RNA, 106 nt
Organism: Nicotiana attenuata
Lineage: Eukaryota; Viridiplantae; Streptophyta; Magnoliopsida; Solanales; Solanaceae
Rfam family: Plant small nucleolar RNA R71
About the family: R71 is a member of the C/D box family of snoRNAs containing the C (UGAUGA) and D (CUGA) box motifs. Multiple nearly identical copies of this snoRNA have been identified in Arabidopsis, and it is thought to function as a 2'-O-ribose methylation guide for 18S ribosomal RNA.
Source: Rfam